This 644-nucleotide ribosomal RNA is filed under the name uncultured Bacteroidales bacterium. RNAcentral's name for it is "bacterial SSU rRNA". It matches the Rfam family "Bacterial small subunit ribosomal RNA", at positions 84 to 724 of the family's 1533-position model. Lineage: Bacteria; Pseudomonadati; Bacteroidota; Bacteroidia; Bacteroidales. The record is from RNAcentral.
GCUGAUGGCGACCGGCGCACGGGUGAGUAACACGUAUCCAACCUGCCGUCUACUCUUGGCCAGCCUUCUGAAAGGAAGAUUAAUCCAGGAUGGGAUCAUGAGUUCACAUGUCCGCAUGAUUAAAGGUAUUUUCCGGUAGACGAUGGGGAUGCGUUCCAUUAGAUAGUAGGCGGGGUAACGGCCCACCUAGUCAACGAUGGAUAGGGGUUCUGAGAGGAAGGUCCCCCACAUUGGAACUGAGACACGGUCCAAACUCCUACGGGAGGCAGCAGUGAGGAAUAUUGGUCAAUGGGCGAUGGCCUGAACCAGCCAAGUAGCGUGAAGGAUGACUGCCCUAUGGGUUGUAAACUUCUUUUAUAAAGGAAUAAAGUCGGGUAUGCAUACCCGUUUGCAUGUACUUUAUGAAUAAGGAUCGGCUAACUCCGUGCCAGCAGCCGCGGUAAUACGGAGGAUCCGAGCGUUAUCCGGAUUUAUUGGGUUUAAAGGGAGCGUAGAUGGAUGUUUAAGUCAGUUGUGAAAGUUUGCGGCUCAACCGUAAAAUUGCAGUUGAUACUGGAUGUCUUGAGUGCAGUUGAGGCAGGCGGAAUUCGUGGUGUAGCGGUGAAAUGCUUAGAUAUCACGAAGAACUCCGAUUGCGAAGGCAG